GAUGAACGCUGGCGGCGUGCCUAAUACAUGCAAGUCGAGCGAACAGACGAGGAGCUUGCUCCUUUGACGUUAGCGGCGGACGGGUGAGUAACACGUGGAUAACCUACCUAUAAGACUGGGAUAACUUCGGGAAACCGGAGCUAAUACCGGAUAAUAUAUUGAACCGCAUGGUUCUAUAGUGAAAGACGGUUUUGCUGUCACUUAUAGAUGGAUCCGCGCCGCAUUAGCUAGUUGGUAAGGUAACGGCUUACCAAGGCGACGAUGCGUAGCCGACCUGAGAGGGUGAUCGGCCACACUGGAACUGAGACACGGUCCAGACUCCUACGGGAGGCAGCAGUAGGGAAUCUUCCGCAAUGGGCGAAAGCCUGACGGAGCAACGCCGCGUGAGUGAUGAAGGUCUUCGGAUCGUAAAACUCUGUUAUUAGGGAAGAACAAAUGUGUAAGUAACUAUGCACGUCUUGACGGUACCUAAUCAGAAAGCCACGGCUAACUACGUG
This 497-nucleotide ribosomal RNA is filed under the name uncultured bacterium. Its description in RNAcentral is "partial 16S ribosomal RNA". It matches the Rfam family "Bacterial small subunit ribosomal RNA", at positions 28 to 507 of the family's 1533-position model. The record is from RNAcentral.